GGGGAAUAUUGGACAAUGGGCGCAAGCCUGAUCCAGCCAUGCCGCGUGUGUGAAGAAGGCCUUCGGGUUGUAAAGCACUUUCAGAAGGGAGGAAAGGUUGUGUGUUAAUAGCACAUAGCUGUGACGUUACCUUCAGAAGAAGCACCGGCUAACUCCGUGCCAGCAGCCGCGGUAAUACGGAGGGUGCAAGCGUUAAUCGGAAUUACUGGGCGUAAAGCGCGCGUAGGUUGUUUGUUAAGCGAGAUGUGAAAGCCCCGGGCUUAACCUGGGAACUGCAGUUCGAACUGGCAAGCUAGAGUACAGUAGAGGGUAGUGGAAUUUCCUGUGUAGCGGUGAAAUGCGUAGAGAUGGGAAGGAACAUCAGUGGCGAAGGCGACUGCCUGGACUGAUACUGACACUGAGGUGCGAAAGCGUGGGGAGCAAACA
This 426-nucleotide ribosomal RNA is filed under the name uncultured Thalassolituus sp. RNAcentral's name for it is "bacterial SSU rRNA". It matches the Rfam family "Bacterial small subunit ribosomal RNA", at positions 356 to 774 of the family's 1533-position model. The record is from RNAcentral. Lineage: Bacteria; Pseudomonadati; Pseudomonadota; Gammaproteobacteria; Oceanospirillales; Oceanospirillaceae.